GGGCCCGCACAAGCGGUGGAUUAUGUGGAUUAAUUCGAUGCAACGCGAAAAACCUUACCUGGCCUUGACAUGUACCGAAUUUAGCAGAGAUGCUUUAGUGCUCGUAAGAGAACGGUAACACAGGUGCUGCAUGGCUGUCGUCAGCUCGUGUCGUGAGAUGUUGGGUUAAGUCCCGCAACGAGCGCAACCCUUGCCAUUAAUUGCCAUCAUUUAGUUGGGCACUUUAAUGGGACUGCCGGUGACAAACCGGAGGAAGGUGGGGAUGACGUCAAGUCCUCAUGGCCCUUAUGGCCAGGGCUUCACACGUAAUACAAUGGACGGUACAGAGGGACGCCAACCCGCGAGGGGAGCCAAUCCCAGAAAGCCGUUCGUAGUCCGGAUUGUUGUCUGCAACUCGACAACAUGAAGUCGGAAUCGCUAGUAA
RNAcentral lists this ribosomal RNA (424 nucleotides) under uncultured bacterium. Its description in RNAcentral is "bacterial SSU rRNA". It matches the Rfam family "Bacterial small subunit ribosomal RNA", at positions 917 to 1341 of the family's 1533-position model. The record is from RNAcentral.